UUGCUACAUGUAUAAUUGUUUCUUUGCUACAUGUUUGAAUAUGAAUCCCCUUGAUAUCUUGGAUAUUGUAUGGUAUACUUUACUGUCUGACAUGUUACACUUCGAUGUCGGAUGCAUCGGAUGCAGGUUAUGUUAGUUUAGAGGAUUCAUUUUUAAGAAAAUGAGGAAUCCUAUCGUUAUGCAUUAAUUUUUACUUUUUCUAAUGCAUUCUUUGGUUGUGUCUAGGUUCAAAUGGAUACUAGAAUUAUUUUGCGGCUCGGCGUGCAAACGGAGAGGCACCUCAUAGCAAGAGUUGCAGUUCUUUGCGCGCGCGCGUGUGUGUACACUGAAGCCUAUAAUUUGGUAAUCCAUUUACCUGCAGUUGAGAAUGGCGCUUUGCAGUUGUACACAUGUUCUUGAUCCGAUUAAGAUGAUAAUGUUUGAUAUUAUUCAUUGGUCGAUUGGAUCCGUGAAACGAUCAUCAGCCAAAAAAAAAAAAUCUUGAGUGGAAGCAUUUGCCCACACCCUUGAAUGUGGCUCCGCUGCGGGAGCAAGGGAAAGAAGAAAAUAUCAUAGGAAUUGUCUGACAGUAGCCCAUCAUGGCGACUUCAGCUCAAAACUGUGAAGUUUAUAAACCUACAAAAAGAUGUUAGUUCAAAUUACUUAAUACAUAAUAUAGGCAUCCUUACUAUUAAUACUUAUUAGUUAUUUUGACAUAGAAAAUGUAUAAUGGAGCAUCACAAGCGUGACGAUGGAGAAAUACACUCGAUUCUAAUUGUUAGAUUUUGUUUCAUAACGUAAAAAAUGAUGACUUUUCGCU
Asparagus officinalis (garden asparagus) is the source of this 799-nucleotide long non-coding RNA. RefSeq lists it as uncharacterized. NCBI's taxonomy places the organism in Eukaryota, Viridiplantae, Streptophyta, Magnoliopsida, Asparagales, Asparagaceae. The record is from RefSeq and is a predicted model, not a curated record. The transcript is spliced from 2 exons.